GAAAAGAUCCUUGUCUGACAUGAGGAGAUCACAGCAGAGCCUCCAGCAGCUUUGACAUCCUGCCUUGUGGGGGACAAGCUCACUGCUCCACAGGCAUAUGCCAGCCAAGGCCUUGCCGUUUGUUUUUUAUUUUUUUUUUUCUCAAGGCUAAUGCAGCAAGAGCAGCCUGAUUCACUUUGAUGGAGUGGUUAAGUAAGUGGCACAGAUUUCACAUGUCAGCCGUAGCCUGCCUAAUCUCAGAGUUAUCCCAUAGCAAGUGACUGCUGAGAAGGUUCAGCAUCAUGCAAGGGCAGCGGAUAGUGCAGUUUGAGGCAUGUGCUGCUACACUAAGUGUUUUGCUUAUCUGGGUUACACUGCCUGGAUCCAAAGUUGAAAGGCCUUGUGCAUAUGCUAAACUGUGGAGACAGACUAGGAACAACCAUGGUUUUCUAUAAGAUCUAAGUUGCAUUCAUGUAUGUGGACCUUCAUAGUAUUUACUGGUAAUUAGUUUUCUAUUUUUCCUUUGAAAAAUUGUUGCUUUUUUUUUUUAACAUAAGGGAAAAAAACCACUCUAUCUUUACAUUAGUACCUUGGCCUUGUUUUCUAAAAUAGUUGAAAAAAUGGAAUUCAUUUAGUAUUUAACCAGGAUGCUUAGGCUUUAGCAGCGUUUAGUAAACACCUAUUUGUUUUAGGUUAGCUCCUACCAUGGUGGUAUUUGUUUGGACCCUAUGAGCAUUAAUUACCCUUAAUGGCCUUAGCCAGCCCCACCUGGUGCUUCCAACCACACCCACGGGCCCAGGAGCCAAUUUAAGCACUGCAGGAGGUUCUUAUCUCUUUUCUUGAGCUGUAUUACAGCCUGCUAGACUGCAGUUUGGUUAAGGACCUGCUGCUUUUAGCCUGCAGACUGAUUUCUCAACCUGAUCUCAUCAUGAUAUUGCCUUGUCACCUGGUUUACCAUCUCCAGGACUGCCUGCUUGCAUUGCUCAGGUGUUUCCAUGGCUAUACAUGCAGUCACAGUAAAUCCAUGAACCACAGUGCUGUCAGCUACAUCCCUUAGAAGACACUUUCAAGAAAGACAGAGGAAGAAGAGAAGGAACUUCAGGUUUGGCUGCAGGCUUGGCCAACCACACCACUUGCCCAUGGAAAUGCUCUGAACCUCAAGCAGCAAGCUCCUUCUGCACCAGGAGCUCCAACUGUGGGAGCCAGCAAGGUGAGGAAACCUGGGGGCAGGGAUGUGGGGUACUGCACCCACAGGGUGACUUCUCCCUUCUUUGCUUGGAGUUCAUCAUUUUUCCAGUUCUUCAAGAUGAGCUAGGAUCAGCUGAGAAGGAAAAACUGAUGUGCGUGUUUCUGUUGCUGCUCAGAAGUUACAGUAGUAAAUAAAAUAUAAGAUUCCCUGUUUUAGGCCAACUAGUUGGAAGCAUAAGAAUCUAAAUUAUAUAUUUUUUUUCAAUUUUACUGAAAAAUA
RNAcentral lists this long non-coding RNA (1447 nucleotides) under Meleagris gallopavo (turkey). Its description in RNAcentral is "lncRNA (ENSMGAG00000018793.1)". The record is from RNAcentral. Lineage: Eukaryota; Metazoa; Chordata; Aves; Galliformes; Phasianidae.